RNAcentral lists this long non-coding RNA (329 nucleotides) under Solanum tuberosum (potato). Its description in RNAcentral is "long non-coding RNA (STUB_LNC000983)". The record is from RNAcentral. Lineage: Eukaryota; Viridiplantae; Streptophyta; Magnoliopsida; Solanales; Solanaceae.
UUAGACACUGUCGCUUAUUUUCAGAAGCUGUAGAUGAAUGCCAAGAAUGCAUGGGGGACAAGGUUGAUUUAUUGGUGAGGCUGGGCUUGUUAAAGUUGGUAAAUGCAGUAUCUGGUCUGAUACAAGAAGGGUUGCCUGAAACUCUGCAGCUGAACUUUUUUAGACUAAGGGCUACUCAGGCAAAAAAUCCAAAAGAUCAUCAUAAUAGCUACCAGGUGUGUUACUCUAUCUCAUUCUCCUCUCCCUCUCUAGGAAGGAAAAUAAAGAGGUUCUGAGAUGAGAAAUGCUCUUAUUUUGAUAUCUUGCCCUUUGAUGAUCUACUUAUUGAC